This is a long non-coding RNA of Hypanus sabinus (Atlantic stingray), 582 nucleotides long. RefSeq lists it as uncharacterized. The record is from RefSeq and is a predicted model, not a curated record. The transcript has 3 exons. Lineage: Eukaryota; Metazoa; Chordata; Chondrichthyes; Myliobatiformes; Dasyatidae.
AUUAUGCCAGGCACAGAGCCACGUCAGCUCACAGCUCCGCUGAGAAGUAUUCUGGAGAAAUAAUAUGGACAAUCAGGGAAAGCGAUCAUGUGUGACCCACGGAGCAAACGAUGUGGCUCAUGAGUGUGCAAAUCAUGGGCAAAGAGAACAAAAGUCUACUCUCUAGGUGCAUCUGGUUAUCUUGGAGUCAUAAAGACGGCAAACACUGGACUAUGGAACAACAGUUGAAAUGUUGAAGGAACUCACUGGCUCAAGCAGUAUCUGUGCAGUGAAAUGGUCAGUCAAGGUCUCAGGCUGUGACCGUUCUCUGAUCUAAACGACAAUUAUCUAUUUUCUUUCCAUUUUAAAGGUCCAUUGCCAUCACUGAUCUCCUUUACUUUCAUAUGUAUUUUAUUAGUGUCCUUGGAAAGCACUAAAUAAAAUAGUAUUUGCUCCUAUUGUUUUUUCUCUGUGAGUUGUGGAAAUGUUUUUAUUAGAUAUGCUCCUAGGUUUAUAUAUUCAUCUUGAUGAAACCACUUCCUUCCCAAUUGAUUAUUUGAUACCUUAUCUAACUUUUAUAUUCUUUUUCAUCACUCUUCUUCU